This 616-nucleotide unclassified non-coding RNA is filed under the name Hevea brasiliensis (rubber tree). The record is from RNAcentral. Lineage: Eukaryota; Viridiplantae; Streptophyta; Magnoliopsida; Malpighiales; Euphorbiaceae.
AACCAUUCGAGACAAGAUUAUCCCGCAUGCUGUCUCAUGGUUUACAGGGGAGGCUAUUCAAGAUGAGGAAUUUGAGGACAUGGACAAUGAGGAUGAAGACGACGAAGACAAUGAUGAUGAAGAGGAUGAUGACGAGGAUGAGGACGAUGAGGAUGAAGAUGACGAUGAAGACGAGGAUGAAGAUGAAGGGAAGUCCAGGAAAAAGCCAACAGCUGGGAACAAGAAGGGUGGAAGAGCAGCGGGCGGGGAUGGUCAGCAAGGGGAGAGGCCUCCGGAAUGCAAGCAGCAGUAGAAACGAAUUUGAUUGGUUGGUGAGACUGUCUCGUGUCUUUCGAUAGUCCGCUGUACAAGUAAUUUUUGGUUGGAACGAGUGAGAGAGGGAGGGGAGGGGCCAGGGGGAAUGGGUUUGCAGUUUUCUAUGGGUUUUCUAUUGUCUAUGAUUUUUACUUCAAAUUUUUCUUCCAUGUAUUCUGGUACUAAAAGGGGAUUUAGGAGAGUCCAUUCCCUUUCCUUUAUGAUUAUUGUUAUUAUUAUUUUUUGUUCUUCAAUUUGUCGCUGGCUUGUGAAGAGGAUGGGUUUUUGCUCUGCUGCGUCGUCUGUUGGGGGAAGUUGGGAU